GUCUACGGCCAUACCACGUUGAAAGCACCAGUUCUCGUCCGAUCACUGAAGUUAAGCAACGUCGGGCUCGGUUAGUACUUGGAUGGGUGACCGCCUGGGAACACCGAGUGCUGUUGAAA
This 119-nucleotide ribosomal RNA is filed under the name Lottia gigantea (owl limpet). The record is from RNAcentral. Lineage: Eukaryota; Metazoa; Mollusca; Gastropoda; Lottiidae.